Molecule: transfer RNA, 70 nt
Filed under: Mytilus galloprovincialis (Mediterranean mussel)
Lineage: Eukaryota; Metazoa; Mollusca; Bivalvia; Mytilida; Mytilidae
Description: tRNA-Phe
Rfam family: tRNA
About the family: Transfer RNA (tRNA) molecules are approximately 80 nucleotides in length. Their secondary structure includes four short double-helical elements and three loops (D, anti-codon, and T loops).
Source: RNAcentral
GAUGUGAUAGCUUAAUAAAAGCACCUCAUUGAAAAUGAGAAAGAUGGUUGCUCUUAUGUACCUUGUGUCA